This 1340-nucleotide long non-coding RNA is filed under the name Equus caballus (horse). Its description in RNAcentral is "lncRNA (ENSECAG00000031572.2)". The record is from RNAcentral. Lineage: Eukaryota; Metazoa; Chordata; Mammalia; Perissodactyla; Equidae.
GUUUGUUGUGUCGCGUAGAUGCCACGGGGAGCCCCAGGCACGGCCAGGCGGCCCCAGCAUCUGCUACGCUCCUCUUCUACACGGGAGAAGAGAAAGUCUCUGACUGUUUUUUUUACUUGCUUUUAAAGUGCACAAGUGACACAUAAACACAUUUGGAGUCUGGAACAAAUCUCGGACAUCACGUCAUUUCGUCCGUAAAUACUUCAGUUUGUGCCUCUUGCAGAUCAGGUCUCUUAACAUCAGCGUGAUGUCGUCAUCGUACCAGCUCAGGUAACAAGCAUCCCUCGCUAUCUUCUCAUCCCCAUUUCCUCCAGUUUUCUCAGGACGUCUCCAGGAGCAAUCGAAGCGUUGCUGGGCGUGUGGGUGAAUCCCAAGGUUCCUCGUCAGCGGGUCCACUGUCGGACUAGGCUCUGGCCAACGGGACCCGGCAUGGGAAUGGGCGAGAUGUGUGCAACUUCCGGCUAGGACGUGUGAGGGGAAAUGUGGGCCUGACGGCAGGAGCUGAAGCAGCUGUCUCAGCCCAGAAGUAAUAUGAUCCGUUGGAGACAUUUGGAAAAUAUGAAGAAUAUUUCCAGAACCAUCCAUAACUCUAGGCCUGAGAUUCUGCUGUGUUUCCUGUCUGUUGUACCACUGUCUCACGUCUUGGUUUCUGGCCAUGUCGAGGGAGAGUUCCAGGCAUGCAGUGCCUUUGCAAGACGAAAAUGCAGAUUCCAAGGCACCCCCAGACGAGCUGGAGGACCGGGUGCCCUGGAGCCACCCUGGGGCCACCCGCUUCCGUCGUGGCGUGGGCCCCAUCCCCAGCUCCAUCUGGUCCUCGCCACGGAGGCCUCUGGCAGUCAGCACAGGGGCAGCCUCCCACAGAGCCCUGAAGGACCAGGGUGACAAAAGGCCUCUCAGCAGAGUUGUUGUGAAGCAGCGAAGCCCCAUGGUAAAGGGCUCACGAGGCUUCAGACCACACAGGUGAGCCCCCUACAGGUGAGCCUCACACGAGUGAGACCCACACAGGUGAGCCCCACACGGAUGAGCCUCACACGGAUGAGCCCCACACGGGUGAGCCCCACACGACUGAGCCCCACACGACUGAGCCCCACACGGGUGAGCCCCACACGACUGAGCCCCACACGACUGAGCCCCACACGGGUGAGCCCCACACAGGUGAGCCCUCCACAGGUGAAUCCCACAUGAGUGAGCUCUACAUAGGUGAGCCCCACACAGGUGAGCUCCACACAGGUGAGCUGCACACGAGUGAGACCUCCACAGGUGAGCCCUUCACAGGUGAGCCCCACAUGGGUGAGCCCUACACAGAUGAGCCCCACCCGAGUGACCCACAUGGAUGAGCC